UUAAGUUAUCUUCUAGCAUGCACUCAAGUACAAGCCACUCCAAAAGCAAGGUGAGGUGCGUGAUGGGCUUGGCCCUGUCCCCCACUCACAAGCCAGCAGCAGUAGCUAUCCCUGGAGGGGAAGAGCAGCUGCACUCUGCUAAAAGGUGCUGCAGCACUGCACCAUACUGCUACAAGUAACAGCAAUAUAGAAAAUGAUGGCCUAAAGAACACAAGAAAAUGCGCCAAACCUGAUAGUCCUAAUGUUUGAUUCUGAAUAUGACUGUCAUGAAACAAGUGCAAGCCUUCAGCAACCGCGGCUGCCUGAUUAGUCUCACAGUCACUCCAACGAGCUAUCAGCUUCCCAGCAUGAAGUUCUACUGCAUCACUGCUCCAAGCCUUUAGGCAAAGGAUUCUAAUAAUGAGUCACAGUGCCGUGACUGAGGCCACACUUCUGCUCUGGUCAUUAAUAAAAACGUUGCACAGUGGAGGACCAAGAAGCAAUCAUUGCAGGACCCUGUUGGAAACGCACCCAUUAAAAUGAAACAGUCAUCACCUGGAAAGAGAGGCUUUUAGAUGGAAUUGGAGAUGACACAAUGAUUAAUUCAUCACUCUUUGAGUUGUGAAGAACCAGGUUUGAAUCGGUCUGAGAUUCCAAAUAAACUAUGGUUGGUGGUC
Long non-coding RNA from Mauremys reevesii (Reeves's turtle), 656 nucleotides. RefSeq lists it as uncharacterized. Lineage: Eukaryota; Metazoa; Chordata; Testudines; Geoemydidae. The transcript is spliced from 5 exons. The record is from RefSeq and is a predicted model, not a curated record.